RNAcentral lists this ribosomal RNA (253 nucleotides) under uncultured bacterium. RNAcentral describes it as "partial 16S ribosomal RNA". It matches the Rfam family "Bacterial small subunit ribosomal RNA", at positions 524 to 776 of the family's 1533-position model. The record is from RNAcentral.
UACGGAGGGUGCAAGCGUUAUCCGGAUUCACUGGGUUUAAAGGGUGCGUAGGUGGCCAGGUAAGUCAGUUGUGAAAUCUCCAAGCUUAACUUGGAAACUGCCGUUGAUACUAUCUGUCUUGAAUACCGUGGAGGUGAGCGGAAUAUGUCAUGUAGCGGUGAAAUGCUUAGAUAUGACAUAGAACACCAAUUGCGAAGGCAGCUCGCUACACGAAUAUUGACACUGAGGCGCGAAAGUGUGGGGAGCAAACAGG